GUAGGGAAUAUUGGACAAUGGCUGAAAAGCUGAUCCAGCCAUCCCGCGUGAAGGCAGAAGGUCCUUUGGAUUGUAAACUUCUUUUCUCUGGGAAGAAAUCACGGGUUUCUACCUGUGUUGACGGUACCAGAGGAAUAAGCACCGGCUAACUCCGUGCCAGCAGCCGCGGUAAUACGGAGGGUGCAAGCGUUAUCCGGAUUCACUGGGUUUAAAGGGUGCGUAGGCGGGCUUGUAAGUCAGUGGUGAAAGCCCGGGGCUCAACUUCGGAACUGCCAUUGAUACUGCAGGCCUUGAGUACAGUUGAGGUGGGCGGAAUACAUCAUGUAGAGGUGAAAUUCUUAGAUAUGAUGUAGAACACCGAUUGCGAAGGCAGCUCACUAAAGUGUAACUGACGCUGAGGCACGAAAGCGUGGGGAUCAAACAGGAUUAGAAACCCCUGUAGUCC
Molecule: ribosomal RNA, 445 nt
Filed under: uncultured bacterium
Lineage: Bacteria
Description: bacterial SSU rRNA
Rfam family: Bacterial small subunit ribosomal RNA
Source: RNAcentral